GAUGAACGCUGACAGAAUGCUUAACACAUGCAAGUCUACUUGAACUUCGGUUUGGGUGGCGGACGGGUGAGUAACGCGUAAAGAACUUGCCUCACAGUUAGGGACAACAUUUGGAAACGAAUGCUAAUACCUGAUAUUAUGAUUUUAGGGCAUCCUAGGAUUAUGAAAGCUAUAUGUGCUGUGAGAGAGCUUUGCGUCCCAUUAGCUAGUUGGAGAGGUAACGGCUCACCAAGGCGAUGAUGGGUAGCCGGCCUGAGAGGGUGAACGGCCACAAGGGGACUGAGACACGGCCCUUACUCCUACGGGAGGCAGCAGUGGAGAAUAUUGGACAGUGGACCAAAAGUCUGAUCCAGCAAUUCUGUGUGCACGAUGACGUUUUUCGGAAUGUAAAGUGCUUUCAGUUGGGAAGAAAAAAAUGACGGUACCAACAGAAGAAGUGACGGCUAAAUACGUG
Molecule: ribosomal RNA, 454 nt
Filed under: uncultured bacterium
Lineage: Bacteria
Description: partial 16S ribosomal RNA
Rfam family: Bacterial small subunit ribosomal RNA
Source: RNAcentral